RNAcentral lists this long non-coding RNA (8873 nucleotides) under Homo sapiens (human). RNAcentral describes it as "HSALNT0397676". The stretch from base 3816 to 3894 matches the Rfam family "Y RNA". The record is from RNAcentral. Lineage: Eukaryota; Metazoa; Chordata; Mammalia; Primates; Hominidae.
ACAGCCGCGGGAAGACAUGAGAGGCUGCUAGAAGGACUUCCCGCGGCCAGCGCCAUCACCUGCCCACGCCGCAGGGAGCCCUGACCAGAGCUCCAGACCUCUGGGUCCAACUGCCUUAUGGAUCCCUCUCCCUGAAUGUCACAUAGGAGAGGGGACAGGGGUUGGCCACACACCUGGAAAUGGAGUUCUCUGAUGCAAUGUCCUUUGGGGUCCGGACUGUGGUGAAGGUUCGUCCAGCUCCACGCCCACCCACUGGCCGCUGGCAAACUCCGUGGUCCCACAGAACCGCAGUGUGCCCGUCUGGGGAGAGAAGGGAGGCGAUGGCUAAGGAAGGAAUGCUGGGAGGCCAACGUGGAGUGCCCACACACGGGCAGCAAGAAAAGAAGAGAGGGCAAUGCAACCAUGGAGGCAGAGACUGGAGAGAUGUGGCCACAAGCCAAGCACUGCCUGCAGCCACCAGGAACCGGAACAGGCAAAGAAGAGAUUCUCCCCCAGAACCUCCAGAGGAGUACAGCCCUGCCGACACCUUGGUUUUGGCCCAGGAAAGCCGAUUUGGACUCCUGGCCUCUAGAACUGUUAGAAAAUAAUUUGUCUUGUUUUAAGCCACCAAGUUUGUUAGAGCAGCAUGGGAAACUAAUAGUGUAAUAAAGGGAGAAAUAAGAAUGUCUUUCACAUUUGCUGGUAUUUAUAUAAAGAAACUAUGGUAAUGUGGUUUGGCUCUGUGUCCCCACCCAAAUCUCAUCUUGAACUGUAAUCCCCAUGUGUCAAGGGAGGGACAUGAUGGGAGGUGACUGGAUCAUGGGGGAUGUUUCCCCCAUGCUGUUCCCAUGAUAGUGAGUGAGUUCUCAUGAGAUCUGAUGGUUUAAAAGUGGCAGUUCCCCUCUUGCUCUCUCUCUCUCCUGCCCCCAUGUAAGAUGUUUGCUUUCCCUUCGCCUUGCACCAUGAUUGUAAGUUUCCUGAGGCCUCCCCAGCCAUUCAGAAUUGUAAGUCCAUUAAACCUCUUUCCUUUAUGAAUUACUCAGUCUCAGGUAGUUGUUUAUAGUAGUGUGAGAACAGACUAAGACACAUAGGAAGGACACACAAGAAACUAAAGAGGCUACCAGUGGGGAGGAGGUGGAUGGGAUGAACGGAGAUGGGGAGAGCCAAGACUUCUCAGACAAAGGAAGAUGGAGGUGGAGGGGGCAGGUAGCUGGUGAAAGAGCACAGAAAGGCUGACUCAGAGAACAGCAGUGGCACCCAGAGAGCAGAACCCCAGGGCACACAGCCAGGGAGUCUGGCUGCUGCAGUCAGCCUCCCUCUAAGAUCCCAAUGUUCUCAGCAGCCCCAUUCUUCCGGGACACAAACACAAGAUCUAUUGCAACAGCAUUCCCCAUUCUUAUUGCCACCAUCUCCCAGGCAGAAUCUGCCAAUGGACUACUCGUAUCUACUCUCUGCCUUUUCCUUACUAACAGAACUCCAACUUUCUUUGAGGCCACAAUGUGUCCUGCUAAAAGACUAUGUUUCCCAGGAUCCUUUGCAGCUGGCUGGGGCGUGUGACUACCUUCUGGCCAAGGAAUGCUUUAGUGUUGUGUGGGAUCUCUGGGAUGGUGCCUUAAAUGGAAGGGACGAUCAACAGGAUUCAGCAGCUCAAAGAGCAAAGGAAAAAAGUCAAUAUCCUAAGAAAGGUCUCCUUAAUUGGUCUUACUCUCUCUUGUUCCUCUGGAUAGCAGCAUUUGUAAUGGGCAAUGUUGCUUUCUAAAAAACUACCUUAAGCAGACAACAAGUGUUCCCCUUUGUAUGCAGUCAAAUGCUCUACCACUGAGCUAUACCCCCAUGUUCCCCUUUGUAUAAACUAUUUUAGUCUUGCUGGUCAUCUUGUCCAGAGCAUGGGGUGGCAUAUACUGCUAGAAGUCCUUUUUUUCUUUCUUACUAAUGUAACUCAAAAUUUCUUCAGGCUGAUUAAAUGCCCAGUUUUUAAAGACCACAAUUCCCAGCCUCUUUUCCAGUUGGGGUGACCAAUGAUGAAAAGGUGCCAUUGAACGGGGUUUCUGGGAAGGCCUUAUAAAGGGAGAUGAUUCAGUUUAGACCUGAACGCUUUUUGCUCUUCCUCCCUUCCCUUUUCCUCCUAUAAGGAAUGGUGGCAGUGGUGGCUGGGGCACUGGCAGCCACCUUGGAUGGAAGCCACAGGCCAAGGAUGGAAGCCACAGGCUAAGGAUGACAGAGCAGAAAGAGGCCGGGCAUGGUGGCUCACACCUGUAAUCCCAGCACUUUGGUGGCCAAGGUGGGAGGAUCAUUUAAGGCCAGGUGUUUGAGACUAGCCUGGCCAACAUGGCAAAACCCUGUCUCUACUAAAAAUACAAAAAUUAGCUGGGUAUGGUGACAUGCGCCUGUAAUUCUAUAAUUCCAGCUACUUGGGUGGCUGAGGCAUGAGAAUCCCUAGAACCCAGGAGGUGGAAGUUGCAGUGAGCUGAGACUGUGCCACUGCAUUCCAGCUUGGGUGACAGAAUGAGACUUUCAAAAAAAAAAAAAAAGAAAGAAAAAUAGUGAUAGGACCCCUCAUUUCUCAUGACUGUGGAGCUACUAUCCCAGUGCUGGUUUGCCAACCUCUGUACUUUCUGUAUAUGAGGGAAAAUAAACCCUGUAAUAGAAUGUCUGCUGUCUCUCUCCACAUGAGGAUUACACAUGCCCACUCCAUUGACUUGAGGCUUGCUAUAUACUUGCUCCAGCCAAAAGAAUGCCAGUGAAAGUGACACAGGCCACUUCUAAAUAUGAAAUUGACCAAGAGCCACUGGGUGAUUCACUCCACUUUCUUUUUUCCUCCUCCUGCAAGACCAGCAAUACUCCAAAUAGGGAUAGUUUAUUCAGCCUGAGACCCCAAUUAAGAUACUGUAGAGUAGGACCACAAAUGACCUGCAAAGGACAUAGUGUGAGCAAGAAAUACACCUUUGGGCCACGUGUGGUGAUUCAUGCCUGUAAUCCCAGCACUUUGGGAGGCUAAAGCAGGAGGACUGAUUGAGCCCAGGAGUUCCAGCCUGGGCAACAUAGUGGGACUUCAUUUCUUUUUUUUUUUUUUUAGACGAAGUUUCACCCUUGUUGCCUAGGCUGGAGUGCAGUGGCGCGAUCUUGGCUGACUGCAACCUCCGCCUCCCAGGUUCAAGCGAUUCUCCCAUCUCAGCCUCCUGAGUAGCUGGGAUUACAGGCGUGUGCCACCACGCCUGGCAAUUUUUGUAUUUUUAGUAGAAAUGGGGCUUCACCAUGUUGGCCAGGCUGGUCUCAAACUCCUGACCUCAGGUGAUCCACUUGCCUCAACCUUCCAAAGUGCUGGGAUUACAGGUGUGAGCCACCGCGCCCAGCCCAAUGGGACUUCAUUUCUACAAAAAUUAGAAAAAUUUGCCUGACAAGGUGGUGUCUGCCUAUAGUCGCAGCUACUCAGGAGGUUGAGGCGGGAGGACUGCUUGAGCCCAGGAGUUUGAGGCUGCAGUGAACCAUGAUGGUGCUGCACUCUAGCCCAGGUGAUAAAGACCCCUUCUUUAAAAAAAAAAAAAAACAAAAAAACAAAAAACACCUUUGUUGUAGUAAGCCACUGAGAUUUGAGAAGUUUGUUUGUGCAGCAUAACUUAACCACACUGAUUCCUAUAGACCCCAUAAUUUGUUUAAGCAACUCUUAUUGCAGGACUUUGUUACUACCAAGCAGAUACAAUUCUAAGUGAUAGGUCCCCCAUAAGAGAUGACCCCAUUGCCACUGUCCCUGAAAGGGCCUAAGACAGAGCUAAUGAAAGCUAGCCAGGCAUGGUGGCACAUGCCUGUAGUCCCAGCUACUCAGGAGGCUGAGAUGGAGCUGGUCCGAGUGUUGUGGGUUAUUGUUAAGCUGAUUUAACAUUGUCUCCCCACACAACCAUGCUUGACUAGCAUAAAAAUAAAAAAGAAAAAUGAAAAAAACAAAAAAAAAGGAGGCUGAGAUGGGAGGACUGCUUGAGCCUGGGAGGCUGAAGCUGCAUUGAGCCAUGAUCGCACCACAGUACUCCAGCCUGGGUGACAAAGCAAGAUCAUGUUUCAAAAAAAAAAAAGAGAGAGUGAACUAAUGAGUGUUCCCAUUGGCUGCCAAGCAGGAUUUCAAGUUAUUUCCUGGCAGCCACUUCCCUCAAUGUGUCUCAUCUUAUCUCUCACCUGGCAUCCAUGCCCUCUCCUAAGCCUCUUUUGGAAACUGCUUCUCAUCUAACUCUUAACUAAGUGGCUUCUGCAAGACUGACUCAGGGGUAGGCCCUGAGGUGGAAAUGGGCUAGUCACUAGCGGGUGCCAAUGAAGACAUGAAGUGAUUUUUAUACAGUCAUCUGGCUGCUAUAUACAGUCGUCAUCAUUUUCCUCCUUAUUAUACAUACAAAGCACUUAGAACAGUGCCUGGCAUAAGGUAAAUACUAAGUAACUAUUGUUGUUGUUAUGAGAGAGGUAAGAGUGGAAACGGGCCAGGCACGGUUGCUCACGCCUGUAAUCCCAGUACUUUGGGAGGCCAAGGUGGGUGGAUCACCUGUGGUCAGGAGUUCAAGACCCACCUGGCCAACAUGGUGAAACUCCAUCUCUACUAAAAAUACAAAGAAUUGGCUGGGUGUGGUGGUGUGCACCUGUGGUCCCAGCUACUCAGGAGGCUGAGGUAGGAGAAUCACUUGAACCUGGGAGGCAGAGGUUGCAGUGAGCCGAGAUCAUACCACUGCACUCCAGCCUGGGCGGCAGAGCAAGACCCUGUCUCAAAAAAAAAAAAAAAAAAAAGAUGAUGGCAGCCUGGACUACAUGAUGACAGUGGAUGUGAUGAGAAGUAGUCUGGGAAUGUGUUUUCCUUAUUUCUUAUUUAUUUAUUUUGAGACAAGGUCUCACACGGUUGCCCAGGCUAGAGUACAGUGGCACAAUCACAGCUCACUGCAGCCUCGGCUCCUGGGAUCCAGUGAUUCUCUCACCUCACUGUCUCAUGUAGCUGGAACUACAGGUGUGUACCACCACGUCCAGCUAAUUUUUUACAUUUUGUAGAGAUGGGGUUUUGCCACGUUGCCCAGGCUGGUCUCAAAUUGCUGGGCUCAAGCGAUCCUCCUGCCUCGACUUCCCAAAGUGCUGGGAUUACAGGUGUGAGCCACCACGCCCAGCCUAUCUUUCCUUAUUUGUUAAUGAUUUAUUUAGGAAUUUCUCAUUUGUGUUUAUAACUGUCUUGUCAAGGUGUUAGAGAUUUUGUUGUGGUUGUUGCAGGAUGGAGAAAUGUCUUGAGGGUAGAGCCAAAGGGUGGGUUAAUGGACUAGCGGUGAAUGAAAAGGAAGGAUCAUGGGUAACUCCCAGGUCACGUACUCAGUUCCUCAAUGUUUGAUCCCUCACCUAUCCAUGAGCUCUGUCAUGGCAGAAACAAGAUCUGUCAGGAUUCUUUGUGUCCAGCAGGGGCUUACUUGCUUCUCCAAGAAAUACUCAAAAAGUUGCUGAAUUAAUCAAUGUUGCCAGAGUCAUACACAGGCUUAAAGUCCCUUUGGCCCUACACCAGGGUCCCUCAAAGGAUCCGUGACACAUGGACUGCUGGCUUUCCUGGAGAGCCCAUCUGAAAGGCAUUCACCAAAUCCACCCAACGAAUCUUUACUAAGAACCUACUAUGUGCCAGGCAAUAUUCUAGAGGUUGGAGACACAAACAGGAGGAAAGAAGAAAGACAAAGAAAGACAAAACCUCUGGCUUGAUUGAACUGAUAUUCUAGUGGGGGAGAUAAUGAAUGAAUACAUCGAAAACGCAAUAUGCAGACAGUGAUGUGUUAAAGAGAAAAAUAAAGCAGGAGACAGAGAGAAUCGUGUGUGUGUUUGGGUGUCAGUUACAGUUUUCCAUAGGGUGGUAGUCAUAAAGGCAAGAACUUUGAAAUCAGAGGGAAUCACACAGGCAAAGUCCCCAGGGCAGCAACAUGCCUGCCACACUACAGGAACAUGAAGUAGGCCAGUGUCACUGGUGUGAAGGGCAGGAGGAAAGAGAUGAGGUCACACUGGUAUCAGGGAACCAGCUCUGUAGGACUUUGCAGGCCUGCUUUCUACCUGUUCCAGCCUCACUUUAUUUUUUAUAGUGAGGUGGGAGUCACGGAAGGGAUCUGGGCAGAGGAGGGCGCUGAUCUGACUCAGGUGUUCACAGGCUCCCUCUGGCUGCAAGCAGGGAACAGACUGGGGGUGACGGUGGGAGCAGGGAGACCAAUGAAGAGGCUGCUAAAAUAGUCCAGUCUGGAGGUGAUAAUUGCCAGGAGCAGGAUGCAGGAAGAGGAGAGGGUUAGAAGUGAUCAAAUUCUGGACAGUUUGUAAAGGGAGAGCCAACUGGAUUUGCUGAGGGACUGGAUGAGGAAUGUGUCCUAGCCCACUUAGGCUAAGACCACCAGGGACAAACCUGUAGUCCAGCACUGUCAGAUUUAUUUACAAUGGCAAUGGGAGAGUCUGCACACUAGAGAUACCAUAGGCCAGGGGUCCCCAACUCCCAGGCUACAGACGGGUACCAGUCUAUGGCCUGUUAGGAAUAGGGCCACACAGCAGGAGGUGAGUGGCAGGCAGGUGAGCGAGUGAGAGAAGCUUCAUCUGUAUUUACAGCCACUCCCCACUGCUCGCAUUACCACCUGAGUUCCGCCUCCUGUCAGAGCAGCAGCAGCAUUAGAUUCUCACAAGAGUGUGAAUCCUAUUCUGAACUGUGCAUGUGAGAGAUCUAGGUUGCCCUCCAUUUUUUUUUUGUUUGUUUGUUUUUUGGGUUUUUUGGUUUUUUUUUUAGAUGAAGUCUCACUCUGUCGCCAGGCUGGAGUGCAGUGGCGCAAUCUCGGCUCACUGCAACCUCUGCCUCCUGGGUUCAAGUGAUCCUCCUGCCUCAGCCUCCCAAGUAGCUGGGAUUACAGGCAUGUGCCACCACACCUAGCUAAUUUUUGUAUUUUUAGUAGAGACAAGGUUUCGCCAUGUUGGCCAGGAUGGUCUCGAUCUCCUGACCUCGUGAUCUGCCCGCCUUGGCCUCCCAAAGUGCUGGGAUUACAGGCAUGAGCCACUGUGCCUGGCCAGUUGCCCGCUUUUUAUGAGAAUCUAAUGCCUGAUGAUCUGAAGCGUUUCAUCCCAAAACCAUUCCCCCAACCCUAUCCCAUCCGUGGAAAAACUGUCUUCCACAAAACCAGUCCCUGGUGCCAUAAGGGUUGGGGACCACUGCCAUAGGCCCUAUGGGCCUUUGUUUUGUGAGGGAGUCUCAACAAACAGAGUUAUUUUUUAGGUGAAAUGUAAACUAAGCAGUGUUCAGAUUGCCUCAAAGCAAAUCAGAACUGUGUGUAAAGGGAUCAAUAUCAGGUCCGGAUGGUGAAGUGGGCCCAGGGUUUGUCUUCUCAGAUGCAAUAAAGUUUACAUAGAUGUAGAAUAUUGUGUCCUUAUCUGAAGCUCCAAACCUGGAUUGUAAAUAGGGACUGCUUUUCUGUGUCAAAGUGACUUAGCUCCUCCAAGCAAAAGUGAGAUGUUUCAUUCUUACUUGAUGUGAUUUCAAACAGCAAAGUUUGUGAUCAUCUCUGACUUUAGACAACCAAAGUUUCCUACUAAGAAAGCAGUAGACACUCAAAGGAUGGGAAUUCUGCCACUUUACAUCUGCAGUAUGUCCAAGAGAAAUAUUUUUUCCUGGCUGGGUGCAGUGGCUCACGCCUGUAAUCCAAGCACUUUGGGAGGCCGAGGCAGGAGGACUGCUUGUGCCCAGGAGUUUGAGACUAGACUGGACAACAUAGGGUGAUCCCAUCUCUCUCUUUAAAAACAAAAUUUUUUUUUUUGAGACGGAGUCUCACUCUUGUUGCCCACGCUGGAUUGCAGUGGCCUCAUCUUGGCUCACUGCAACCUCUGCCUUCUGGAUUCAUGCGAUUCUCCUGCCUCAGCCCACGGAGUAGCUGGAAUUACACGCAUGAGCCACCACGCCCAUCUAAUUUUUGUAUUUUUAGUAGACACGGGGUUUCACCAUGUUGGCCAGGCUGGUCUCGAACUCCUGACCUCAGGUGAUCUGCCCGCCUCGGCCUCCCAAAGUGCUGGGAUUACAGGCGUGAGCCACCAAGCCUGGCAAAAAAAAAAAAAAAAAAAAAAAAAAAAAAAAAUUUAAAUUAUCCAGGCAUGGUGGCGCGUGCCUCUGGUCCCAGCUACUUGGUAGGGUGAGGUGGGAGGAUCACUUGAGCCCGGGAGGUCGAGGUUGCAGUGAGCUGUGAUCGUUCCACUGCAUUCCAGCCUGGGCGACAAAGCGAUCUUGUCUCAAAAAAAAAAAAAAAAAAAAGCAAAGAAAUGUUUUUUCCUAGUAAUUCUUCCACCAACUGGCUUAUGUCAGCCAGAUAAAUAAGGAGACAGAUCUUUUACAGUCGAAGCUAAUUCUGACUUUCCCAAGUAUGACGAAAGAGGUAAGGAUGACAUUUUUUAAACCUAAGCAACAAGAAGAAUGAAGCACGCUACUAAGAUAAGACAGACUGGAAGGUUUUGGGGAGACACGAUCGCAAGCUCAGUUUCGGAUGCUCUGAGUUUCAGAUGGCUCAAAUGCGUGGGGAGGGCAAGUGGGCAUCUGCAGGCUCUCUAACAGCCUGCACCGACUUCACUUCUUACAUCCCUUUCACUCUUCGGCUCGCUUCGCUCGCUAUCUGUAGUCAAUCGUCUACUCCUGUUUCCCACGCCUGCACCUUUGUAUGUGCAAUGGACACUGCCAGGAAGGCCAUCUCCUCAUGGUUUAACCCCACUUCCUAACACCCUCAAGCAAGACCAGAAGCCCCGCACAGCAGCACUAAUGCUCGGGCCCCACCCCUCUCAGGGUCCCGCCUCCCUCAAGCCCCGCCCCGCGCUGCGCUCACUUGUAGAAGCUCACAGGGCGGUUGUCUGCACCCAGGCGGCCCGCAGUGUUGGAGCAGUUCGGCGCCCUG